This 29-nucleotide non-coding RNA is filed under the name Rattus norvegicus (Norway rat). The record is from RNAcentral. Lineage: Eukaryota; Metazoa; Chordata; Mammalia; Rodentia; Muridae.
UAGCAUACGUCGAAGGAAUCAAGUCUUAC